Molecule: ribosomal RNA, 512 nt
Filed under: uncultured crenarchaeote
Lineage: Archaea; Thermoproteati; Thermoproteota
Description: bacterial SSU rRNA
Rfam family: Archaeal small subunit ribosomal RNA
Source: RNAcentral
AACUUUGCAAUGUGCGAAAGCACGACAAGGUUAAUCCGAGUGGUUUCUGCUAAAGAAACCUUUUGCUAGUCCUAGAAACACUAGUGAAUAAGGGGUGGGCAAGUUCUGGUGUCAGCCGCCGCGGUAAAACCASCACCUCAAGUGGUCAGGAUGAUUAUUGGGCCUAAAGCAUCCGUAGCUCGUUUUGUAAGUUUUCGGUUAAAUCCAUACGCUUAACGUAUGGGCUGCCGGGAAUACUGCAUAACUAGGAAGUGGGAGAGGUAGACGGUACUCGGUAGGAAGGGGUAAAAUCCUUUGAUCUAUUGAUGACCACCUGUGGCGAAGGCGGUCUACCAGAACACGUUCGACGGUGAGGGAUGAAAGCUGGGGGAGCAAACCGGAUUAKAUACCCGGGUAGUCCCAGCUGUAAACUAUGCAAACUCAGUGAUGCAUUGGCUUGUGGCCAAUGCAGUGCUGCAGGGAAGCCGUUAAGUUUGCCGCCUGGGAAGUACGUACGCAAGUAUGAAACUUAA